GUUCAUACAUGGGUGCAAGAAUGAUUGCUUUCAAUGAGCCAGACACCAUGCAGUGGAAAGUGGAAACAAAAGAGCAUUCAAAGCAAACUGAUUCUUUCAAUUGUGGAGUCUAUUGCCUUUUGUGUACCUAACGGAACAUUGUCCUACAUGUGGAUUUGUGACAAGGAGAGAUGUAAGGGAGAUUCAUUGUGAAAAAUGCAACAGAGAGUUCCAUAAAAAACCCCACUGUGUUGGGGAGGAAAACAUGUGCAAAUAUAGCUUU
Molecule: long non-coding RNA, 262 nt
Organism: Magallana angulata
Lineage: Eukaryota; Metazoa; Mollusca; Bivalvia; Ostreida; Ostreidae
Exons: 3
Source: RefSeq, a predicted model, not a curated record